Passer domesticus (house sparrow) is the source of this 3573-nucleotide long non-coding RNA. RefSeq lists it as uncharacterized. NCBI's taxonomy places the organism in Eukaryota, Metazoa, Chordata, Aves, Passeriformes, Passeridae. The transcript has 5 exons. The record is from RefSeq and is a predicted model, not a curated record.
UUCCCUUCCCUUCCCUUCCCUUUAGUCCAGUUUGAUUCAUUUAGUAAUUUAGUUUUUAAAUUACUUUUACUUUUUACUCAAGUGAUUGUGCUGGACAGAAGAAAAAUCAAGUCUCGGAGUGGAAAAUGAUCACCUGAGUUACAGGAGGACCUGCAGGGAUCACAAGGAUUUGGAGAAACAUCAUCCUCCCUUGGAGCUGAGCUUUUGCUCUGCUGCAGCCUGAGAGUACUUUGAUCAGAGAUACAACAGCAAAGCUGCAAUUUAUUAUUGUUCAUUGUCACCUCCAGCCACAAUUAACAUUUCCCCUUCUCAUUAGAGGUUUUUUCCUCUGUCCCUUUUCUGUUUCACUUUUUUUUUUUCUUUUUUAAGAGAAUAGCAGAAGUCAUAGCAAAGGUGACAGCUUGUGUCUAUGGCUUGGAGUGCACUAUGGGCGUAACACCAUAACUUCCUUGAAAGCAGACAGAUGCUGUAAACCCCUGCCUCCUUCCCCUCCUACCAAGUGUCCCACCAGGAAACCUCCUCCCAAAACUCACAUCUGCAUCCAUGACCAGAAGCAGAUGCAGCUGGCAAACUGCAGACCCACAGACCUGGCAGCAUCCUUCCCCAAGCAAGCUAAAGAACAAAAAGAAAGGCCGUGCAAGAGGCAAACUUGCAGACCUUGCAGGAGACCACUUUACCAGUGGGGACACCAACACAGAGAGCAUUUCAUGUUUCUCCAACAAGUGCAUGAAAUUACAGAACCUGGAUGAAGAUCCCAGAUCUCUUAAAUCAAAGUCCAUCACUCCAGCCACAAGCAGAGCUACAUCUAACAUUGAAGAGGCAUGUGGAGCUCUCUUCAGUUAGCUACAUUGCCAAAAGCACAACUGUUCUCCCAUAAAACAGAUGCUUUCCAUAGUGCACAUCAUCAUGGGAGAUGUUGUUUGCUGAAGCAGCGAGUCCACUGAGCACCAUGAGGACCCUUUUCCAGUUGGAGCAGCCAGCUUUUGGCACUUCACAGUACAGAACCUUGUGCCUGUCCUCUACGUAAAUUCUUGACACCAGGUGCACCAGCAUGGACAUCUGGUCUUGAGAAUUAGUGAAAAUUCACUUGCUGACUGAGGAAGGAAGUGACAUCAAUGAGUUUCUAAAGUCAGCCCUGAGGGAAAAGUGUGCUCUGCCAGAGUAGCCUUUCAUGCCAUUGUAUUUCCAGUGAUGCCUCAAGAUGCAAAUUGCAUUAUCAAUCAAACUUGUGGUUUCUACCUCAGACAAAUAUAAAAAAAAAAAGAAGAGAAAGACUGGGAAAGACCUGUGCAGCCAUUCCCGACACUGCUAAGAAAAAGGUGAAGAAGAAUUUAUGGUAAUUCUUUCCUUUUUCUCUCUUUUCUCUUCUCUGUGAUUUAAAUGUACAGUAUCAAGGAAGAGGCAUUUGCUGAAGUGACUGUGUGAUACAACAGCAAUGAUGACAUGGGUUAAACAGGACAGAGAUUGACUGUUGGGCUGUUAAGGAUAGAAGAGAGAUCAAAUUCAAGGUCACCACUAAAUUGAAUACUGAGUUCUCCAUUUAUUCGCUAGAUGAUCCUUGUCCUCAUCACAGAACAACUAUGUGCAUUUGGCAGAGUCAGCACUUGUGCUCAGAAGGGACCAAGGUCUGUAAUAACAGACAGACUACAAAUCAGGGUGGAAAUAUAUUGGCACCAUUACAUGGGGAAACCUGCACAGUCCUGGUGUGUAUUGUAUUAUUGUUUUAGAAGAAACACCACAAAAAGCAGUGAAAAAACAUGACACCUACAGUGCUGAAAAGGGGUUCAGUUUCUAUCUUCCAGAGGCUAACUGUAGGGCAGGACAAGGCCAUUGAAAGUGGGCAGAAUUUUGUUUGUCCUUUUGUCCUGCUUUGGUUUUUAUUAAUUUGCCUUUUUUCCUUAAAUUCACAGAAUUAUCUUACAAUGACUAGUCACUAAUUUGUUUUAGUUUUGGCAUUCUCAAUUUUGAGGAGGAUGUUCCUGUGUUGAUGCCUUGUCAUCAUUUGUGAUGACCAUCAACCCAUCAACAUUCAUCAGCAGGACUCAAAAAACACCACUGGAGAGAGUACUCCUAACUCAAAGGGCAUGAAGCAAUGGGACACUGACAAAACCAGAACUGUCAGAACACGUCAGCCAGUCCUACAGGCAGCACCUGCAUCAGUCUCAUGAAAUGCAGAGAAUACUUGACACUUACAAGAAGAUCCAUUUCUGGUAGAUGUACACAUGCUAAAUUUAAAAUUUCUGACAGUUUCUCCCAAGCCACUGCAAUGAGGCAGCAGCUUAUGCAACAACAUCAAACCAACUGGGAAAUUUUCUGCCAUCUGAAAACUCUAAUGGGAGCUGCCCAGCAGGUAGCCAGAGCAGUCCCAGAGCAUACCUUCUGCAACUCAGACUGUUUGUGAGCAGCUUGCUCUUCUCCUAUAUUUUUCUGAAACUUCAUUUUUCUACCUGUCGUCUUGCAAACUGUUCCUAAAUGGGCUCAACAGUGCCACCUGAGCUAAAAACCACCAGCAAAUCCAAAGGCCUUAAUCGUAGACAAAUAACUGAUACUUUGUGUUUCAAAGGUUGUAUUUACCAGUAUGAACUAUGAUUCUUGUUUGCUGACACUGUGCUUUCCUACCAUGCUAAUUGAGGCCAAGCUGCUGCAGCUGGAUUCCAGUGAUGUUUUCUUGCAUCAGGACUGGAGAAACAUACCUCUCCCAAUUAAUUUUUAGUGAUUUUGUUUUGUCUCUCUAGUUGCAAAAAGUGUAAUGGGUGGUGACUGGUUGAGAUAAAUGGCCUUCUUGGGUUGACCUCAAGCUAUAUCACUUUAGAAAAAAAAUUACAACAACAUUGUUUAAAAGAAUUCUCUGUAUGUUCAUACACUAAUUAGUAUACUAAUUCCUGUUUUCAGGGCAAGUUGGUUUUUUCAAUUUUUUUUUGUUUUGGUUGAUUGUCCAUGAUUAAAAGAUUACCUUACUGAGAGGAAUAAUGUAUGUUUUCCAAUGUAACUGACAGCUGCAAGACAUGAGAGUGUGCCAUCAGUGUGCCUCUGCUGCUGCCAUGAGAAAUGGCAAUAACAACUCCUCAGCCUCAUGCACACAGCCUACACAGAGAACAACACAUAAUUAUGCACUCUAUGCCCUGCUUACCUCCAUACAAAGGAAUGGCAUAUUUGUGCAGGUUUACAGAUUAAUCUGCUGUAAUUCCCUUUAAUGUUAAACUACUUCCAGCUCAAAUAUAAUUAAGAUCACCAGGUACAAAAGAUUCAGAUUGGAAAUAUGAGUACAAUCCAACAGAACAAAUAACAGCUUGAUGCUGUUCUUUAUGUUCAAAUAGUUGGAUACAUUAAGGAUUUUGACAGCAUGUUUGUUCUGUAAGUAUGUAGAUGAAAAAACAAAGGUUUCAUUUCAAAAGGCAAGACAUUAUUACUGCAUUUAAUUAGAGAGAAAAAUCCCUUAAGUAUACAGAUCUGCCAAUUUAUGUGACGUGACUGCUGUAAGACCUAGCAACAACGGAUUUUUUUUUUCCUUCCAAAAAUCAAAUCCAAAUUUAUAUGUACUUCAAGCAACCAUCAUAAAUGUCAAAAUAAAAG